CUUCAACGAGCCCAGCCAGAGCGGGCGUUCGGCCGCCCGUCCCUGACCGUAGGUGGCCAGCAGAGCCUGCGCCUC
This 75-nucleotide antisense RNA is filed under the name Streptomyces sp. XY431. Its description in RNAcentral is "ASpks sRNA". It matches the Rfam family "ASpks TB sRNA". Lineage: Bacteria; Bacillati; Actinomycetota; Actinomycetes; Kitasatosporales; Streptomycetaceae. The record is from RNAcentral.